This is a long non-coding RNA of Neodiprion virginianus, 244 nucleotides long. RefSeq lists it as uncharacterized. The transcript has 3 exons. Lineage: Eukaryota; Metazoa; Arthropoda; Insecta; Hymenoptera; Diprionidae. The record is from RefSeq and is a predicted model, not a curated record.
GUGAUUACAGUGGCUCCUCAAAAAGAUAUUUGCCCUCAAGGUAAGACGUAUCCUAAAAAUGCAGCUGCUAUAGUUAAUAAUAACAUUAUUGUUUCUGUCAUUCAAGUUGGUUUAAAGUUGAAUGAUCCAAAAAAUAUUCCUCGUCCGUUAUGUAAAUAUAUACAAAUGAAAAAUAUAGAAGCACCAUUUGCAUGUAAAUUUUUGAUUAUUCAACCAUUAUUAAUAUCUCGAGAUCGGAAGCGCA